GACGAACGCUGGCGGCGUGCCUAAUACAUGCAAGUCGAACGAACUCUGGUAUUGAUUGGUGCUUGCAUCAUGAUUUACAUUUGAGUGAGUGGCGAACUGGUGAGUAACACGUGGGAAACCUGCCCAGAAGCGGGGGAUAACACCUGGAAACAGAUGCUAAUACCGCAUAACAACUUGGACCGCAUGGUCCGAGUUUGAAAGAUGGCUUCGGCUAUCACUUUUGGAUGGUCCCGCGGCGUAUUAGCUAGAUGGUGGGGUAACGGCUCACCAUGGCAAUGAUACGUAGCCGACCUGAGAGGGUAAUCGGCCACAUUGGGACUGAGACACGGCCCAAACUCCUACGGGAGGCAGCAGUAGGGAAUCUUCCACAAUGGACGAAAGUCUGAUGGAGCAACGCCGCGUGAGUGAAGAAGGGUUUCGGCUCGUAAAACUCUGUUGUUAAAGAAGAACAUAUCUGAGAGUAACUGUUCAGGUAUUGACGGUAUUUAACCAGAAAGCCACGGCUAACUACGUGCCAGCAGCCGCGGUAAUACGUAGGUGGCAAGCGUUGUCCGGAUUUAUUGGGCGUAAAGCGAGCGCAGGCGGUUUUUUAAGUCUGAUGUGAAAGCCUUCGGCUCAACCGAAGAAGUGCAUCGGAAACUGGGAAACUUGAGUGCAGAAGAGGACAGUGGAACUCCAUGUGUAGCGGUGAAAUGCGUAGAUAUAUGGAAGGACACCAGUGGCGAAGGCGGCUGUCUGGUCUGUAACUGACGCUGAGGCUCGAAAGUAUGGGUAGCAAACAGGAUUAGAUACCCUGGUAGUCCAUACCGUAAACGAUGAAUGCUAAGUGUUGGAGGGUUUCCGCCCUUCAGUGCUGCAGCUAACGCAUUAAGCAUUCCGCCUGGGGAGUACGGCCGCAAGGCUGAACCUCAAAGGAAUUGACGGGGGCCCGCACAAGCGGUGGAGCAUGUGGUUUAAUUCGAAGCUAUGCGAAGAACCUUACCAGGUCUUGACAUACUAUGCAAAUCUAAGAGAUUAGACGUUCCCUUCGGGGACAUGGAUACAGGUGGUGCAUGGUUGUCGUCAGCUCGUGUCGUGAGAUGUUGGGUUAAGUCCCGCAACGAGCGCAACCCUUAUUAUCAGUUGCCAGCAUUAAGUUGGGCACUCUGGUGAGACUGCCGGUGACAAACCGGAGGAAGGUGGGGAUGACGUCAAAUCAUCAUGCCCCUUAUGACCUGGGCUACACACGUGCUACAAUGGAUGGUACAACGAGUUGCGAACUCGCGAGAGUAAGCUAAUCUCUUAAAGCCAUUCUCAGUUCGGAUUGUAGGCUGCAACUCGCCUACAUGAAGUCGGAAUCGCUAGUAAUCGCGGAUCAGCAUGCCGCGGUGAAUACGUUCCCGGGCCUUGUACACACCGCCCGUCACACCAUGAGAGUUUGUAACACCCAAAGUCGGUGGGGUAACCUUUUAGGAACCAGCCGCCUAAGGUGGGACAGAUGAUUAGGGUG
Molecule: ribosomal RNA, 1489 nt
Filed under: Lactiplantibacillus plantarum
Lineage: Bacteria; Bacillati; Bacillota; Bacilli; Lactobacillales; Lactobacillaceae
Description: bacterial SSU rRNA
Rfam family: Bacterial small subunit ribosomal RNA
Source: RNAcentral